Molecule: ribosomal RNA, 376 nt
Filed under: Escherichia coli
Lineage: Bacteria; Pseudomonadati; Pseudomonadota; Gammaproteobacteria; Enterobacterales; Enterobacteriaceae
Description: partial 23S ribosomal RNA
Rfam family: Bacterial large subunit ribosomal RNA
Source: RNAcentral
AGCUAUUUAGGUAGCGCCUCGUGAAUUCAUCUCCGGGGGUAGAGCACUGUUUCGGCAAGGGGGUCAUCCCGACUUACCAACCCGAUGCAAACUGCGAAUACCGGAGAAUGUUAUCACGGGAGACACACGGCGGGUGCUAACGUCCGUCGUGAAGAGGGAAACAACCCAGACCGCCAGCUAAGGUCCCAAAGUCAUGGUUAAGUGGGAAACGAUGUGGGAAGGCCCAGACAGCCAGGAUGUUGGCUUAGAAGCAGCCAUCAUUUAAAGAAAGCGUAAUAGCUCACUGGUCGAGUCGGCCUGCGCGGAAGAUGUAACGGGGCUAAACCAUGCACCGAAGCUGCGGCAGCGACACUAUGUGUUGUUGGGUAGGGGAGCG